RNAcentral lists this ribosomal RNA (1018 nucleotides) under Escherichia coli. RNAcentral describes it as "partial 23S ribosomal RNA". It matches the Rfam family "Bacterial large subunit ribosomal RNA", at positions 419 to 1437 of the family's 2925-position model. The record is from RNAcentral. Lineage: Bacteria; Pseudomonadati; Pseudomonadota; Gammaproteobacteria; Enterobacterales; Enterobacteriaceae.
GGGACACGUGGUAUCCUGUCUGAAUAUGGGGGGACCAUCCUCCAAGGCUAAAUACUCCUGACUGACCGAUAGUGAACCAGUACCGUGAGGGAAAGGCGAAAAGAACCCCGGCGAGGGGAGUGAAAAAGAACCUGAAACCGUGUACGUACAAGCAGUGGGAGCACGCUUAGGCGUGUGACUGCGUACCUUUUGUAUAAUGGGUCAGCGACUUAUAUUCUGUAGCAAGGUUAACCGAAUAGGGGAGCCGAAGGGAAACCGAGUCUUAACUGGGCGUUAAGUUGCAGGGUAUAGACCCGAAACCCGGUGAUCUAGCCAUGGGCAGGUUGAAGGUUGGGUAACACUAACUGGAGGACCGAACCGACUAAUGUUGAAAAAUUAGCGGAUGACUUGUGGCUGGGGGUGAAAGGCCAAUCAAACCGGGAGAUAGCUGGUUCUCCCCGAAAGCUAUUUAGGUAGCGCCUCGUGAAUUCAUCUCCGGGGGUAGAGCACUGUUUCGGCAAGGGGGUCAUCCCGACUUACCAACCCGAUGCAAACUGCGAAUACCGGAGAAUGUUAUCACGGGAGACACACGGCGGGUGCUAACGUCCGUCGUGAAGAGGGAAACAACCCAGACCGCCAGCUAAGGUCCCAAAGUCAUGGUUAAGUGGGAAACGAUGUGGGAAGGCCCAGACAGCCAGGAUGUUGGCUUAGAAGCAGCCAUCAUUUAAAGAAAGCGUAAUAGCUCACUGGUCGAGUCGGCCUGCGCGGAAGAUGUAACGGGGCUAAACCAUGCACCGAAGCUGCGGCAGCGACACUAUGUGUUGUUGGGUAGGGGAGCGUUCUGUAAGCCUGUGAAGGUGUGCUGUGAGGCAUGCUGGAGGUAUCAGAAGUGCGAAUGCUGACAUAAGUAACGAUAAAGCGGGUGAAAAGCCCGCUCGCCGGAAGACCAAGGGUUCCUGUCCAACGUUAAUCGGGGCAGGGUGAGUCGACCCCUAAGGCGAGGCCGAAAGGCGUAGUCGAUGGGAAACAGGUUAAUAUU